UACGGAGGGGGCUAGCGUUGUUCGGAAUUACUGGGCGUAAAGGGCGCGUAGGCGGCUAGAUGUGUCAAAGGUGAAAUCCCUCGGCUCAACUGAGGAACUGCCUUUGAAACUGUCUGGCUUGAGGCCGGGAGAGGGUAGCGGAAUUCCCAGUGUAGCGGUGAAAUGCGUAGAUAUUGGGAGGAACACCAGUGGCGAAGGCGGCUACCUGGACCGGUUCUGACGCUGAGGCGCGAAAGCGUGGGUAGCAAACAGG
This 253-nucleotide ribosomal RNA is filed under the name uncultured bacterium. Its description in RNAcentral is "partial 16S ribosomal RNA". It matches the Rfam family "Bacterial small subunit ribosomal RNA", at positions 524 to 776 of the family's 1533-position model. The record is from RNAcentral.